GGGAUUGCCCUAGUAACGGCGAGUGAAGCGGCAACAGCUCAAAUUUGAAAUCUGGCCCUAGGCCCGAGUUGUAAUUUGCAGAGGAUGCUUUUGGUGACGCGCCUACCGAGUCCCCUGGAAUGGGGCGCCACAGAGGGUGAGAGCCCCGUAUGGUUUGCCGCCGAGCCUUUGUAAAGCUCCUUCGACGAGUCGAGUAGUUUGGGAAUGCUGCUCUAAAUGGGAGGUAAAUUUCUUCUAAAGCUAAAUACCGGCCAGAGACCGAUAGCGCACAAGUAGAGUGAUCGAAAGAUGAAAAGCACUUUGAAAAGAGGGUUAAAUAGCACGUGAAAUUGUUGAAAGGGAAGCGCUUGUGACCAGACUUGCGCCGGGCGGAUCAUCCAGCGUUCUCGCUGGUGCACUCCGUCCGGCUCAGGCCAGCAUCGGUUUUCGCCGGGGGACAAAAGCUUCGGGAACGUAGCUCCCUUCGGGGAGUGUUAUAGCCCGUUGCAUAAUACCCCGGCGGGGACCGAGGACCGCGCUUCGGCAAGGAUGCUGGCGUAAUGGUCAUCAGCGACCCGUCUUGAAACACGGACCGAGGAGUCAAGCAUUAGUGCGAGUGUUUGGGUGUAAAACCCGCACGCGUAAUGAAAGUGAACGUAGGUGAGAGCUUCGGCGCAUCAUCGACCGAUCCUGAUGUUUUCGGAUGGAUUUGAGUAGGAGCAUUAACGCUUGGACCCGAAAGAUGGUGAACUAUACUUGAAUAGGGUGAAGCCAGAGGAAACUCUGGUGGAGGCUCGCAGCGGUUCUGACGUGCAAAUCGAUCGUCAAAUUUG
RNAcentral lists this ribosomal RNA (812 nucleotides) under Omnidemptus affinis. RNAcentral's name for it is "partial large subunit ribosomal RNA". It matches the Rfam family "Eukaryotic large subunit ribosomal RNA", at positions 71 to 913 of the family's 3401-position model. Lineage: Eukaryota; Fungi; Ascomycota; Sordariomycetes; Magnaporthales; Magnaporthaceae. The record is from RNAcentral.